UGACCUGCGGAGGGAUCAUUAC
Molecule: ribosomal RNA, 22 nt
Filed under: Trichoderma harzianum
Lineage: Eukaryota; Fungi; Ascomycota; Sordariomycetes; Hypocreales; Hypocreaceae
Also listed under: 2 other names
Description: partial 18S ribosomal RNA
Source: RNAcentral